RNAcentral lists this ribosomal RNA (516 nucleotides) under uncultured bacterium. RNAcentral describes it as "bacterial SSU rRNA". It matches the Rfam family "Bacterial small subunit ribosomal RNA", at positions 28 to 526 of the family's 1533-position model. The record is from RNAcentral.
AACUAACGCUGGCGGCGUGGCUUAGGCAUGCAAGUCGAACGACAAAGUCCGCAAGGAUGAGUAAGUGGCGAAAGGGUGAGUAGUACUCAGGCAAUCUGCCCCUGGGACGGGGAUAGCCGCGGGAAACUGCGGGUAAUACCGGAUGGUCUCGCGUGGGCUGAGGCCCGUGCGUGUAAAGGGUGGGGAUCCGCAAGGACCUUCCGCCCGGGGAGGAGCUUGAGCCCUAUCAGGUAGUUGGCGGGGAACGGCCCACCAAGCCUACGACGGGUACCCGGACUGAGAGGUUGGCCGGGCACACUGGCACUGAGACACUGGCCAGACUCCUACGGGAGGCUGCAGUCGAGAAUUUUCCGCAAUGGGGGCAACCCUGACGGAGCGACGCCGCGUGGAGGAAGAAGGCCCUCGGGUUGUAAACUCCUGUCACGACUUACGAAUGCGCACGGCAUAACAACCGUGCGUUGACGAAGGGUCGGAAGGAGCCACAGCUAACUUCGUGCUAGCAGCCGCCGCUGUAAC